CAGAAGGGAGCUUGCUCCCGGAUGUUAGCGGCGGACGGGUGAGUAACACGUGGGUAACCUGCCUGUAAGACUGGGAUAACUCCGGGAAACCGGAGCUAAUACCGGAUAGUUCCUUGAACCGCAUGGUUCAAGGAUGAAAGACGGUUUCGGCUGUCACUUACAGAUGGACCCGCGGCGCAUUAGCUAGUUGGUGGGGUAAUGGCUCACCAAGGCGACGAUGCGUAGCCGACCUGAGAGGGUGAUCGGCCACACUGGGACUGAGACACGGCCCAGACUCCUACGGGAGGCAGCAGUAGGGAAUCUUCCGCAAUGGACGAAAGUCUGACGGAGCAACGCCGCGUGAGUGAUGAAGGUUUUCGGAUCGUAAAGCUCUGUUGUUAGGGAAGAACAAGUGCGAGAGUAACUGCUCGCACCUUGACGGUACCUAACCAGAAAGCCACGGCUAACUACGUGCCAGCAGCCGCGGUAAUACGUAGGUGGCAAGCGUUGUCCGGAAUUAUUGGGCGUAAAGGGCUCGCAGGCGGUUUCUUAAGUCUGAUGUGAAAGCCCCCGGCUCAACCGGGGAGGGUCAUUGGAAACUGGGAAACUUGAGUGCAGAAGAGGAGAGUGGAAUUCCACGUGUAGCGGUGAAAUGCGUAGAGAUGUGGAGGAACACCAGUGGCGAAGGCGACUCUCUGGUCUGUAACUGACGCUGAGGAGCGAAAGCGUGGGGAGCGAACAGGAUUAGAUACCCUGGUAGUCCACGCCGUAAACGAUGAGUGCUAAGUGUUAGGGGGUUUCCGCCCCUUAGUGCUGCAGCUAACGCAUUAAGCACUCCGCCUGGGGAGUACGGUCGCAAGACUGAAACUCAAAGGAAUUGACGGGGGCCCGCACAAGCGGUGGAGCAUGUGGUUUAAUUCGAAGCAACGCGAAGAACCUUACCAGGUCUUGACAUCCUCUGACAACCCUAGAGAUAGGGCUUUCCCUUCGGGGACAGAGUGACAGGUGGUGCAUGGUUGUCGUCAGCUCGUGUCGUGAGAUGUUG
RNAcentral lists this ribosomal RNA (1024 nucleotides) under bacterium. RNAcentral's name for it is "bacterial SSU rRNA". It matches the Rfam family "Bacterial small subunit ribosomal RNA", at positions 69 to 1077 of the family's 1533-position model. The record is from RNAcentral.